AAUUCGUGCAUUAGACACUUUCGUAGCAACUCCUUAAAACUCUCCUAAGCUUCAUAUAAAGUUUCUCCAUCUAACUUCUUGAAUAAAGUUAUAUCAUUUCUUAGCCU
Small nucleolar RNA from Hibiscus syriacus, 107 nucleotides. The record is from RefSeq and is a predicted model, not a curated record. NCBI's taxonomy places the organism in Eukaryota, Viridiplantae, Streptophyta, Magnoliopsida, Malvales, Malvaceae.